Long non-coding RNA from Carassius gibelio (silver crucian carp), 2272 nucleotides. RefSeq lists it as uncharacterized. The transcript has 2 exons. NCBI's taxonomy places the organism in Eukaryota, Metazoa, Chordata, Actinopteri, Cypriniformes, Cyprinidae. The record is from RefSeq and is a predicted model, not a curated record.
CAGUGUGACAAAUGGCAUGUGGAACUUAUUCCCGCUGAAGCAGUGUUCCCGGGGAAACGCUUUGAGUGUAACUCUGUUCCCAGGCCUGUGUGUGUGUUUGUUGCUGUGACAACCCCAAAUGAUGGAUUGGCAACAGGUGUGGGGGAUUUACUCAGAGUUUGCGUGAGGCCUCAUCAACAGUGGAGAGGAUAAAAAGCAAGAGAGAGAGGUGGUGCGGGUGGUUUUUCUCCCUUGUGAAAAGUCGUUUUAUUGGGUGGUAAUAGUGGCUGGAGGACGGGUGAAUGAAGUGGAAAGUGUUGCUUUGCUGAGGGAUUCGAGGACAACAGAAGGAGAGUGAAAUACCCUGUUUGCAUUGGAGAGGAGCUAAGUAACUGAGAACUGAGUCUUGUAAUUGCACACGUUUGACACUGAAUUGGAUGUGGUUUGGAGUGUUUGGAUCACGAUCAUAAAUAUCACUGAGUGGAUUGUAUUGAUUCAUUACCGAUCUCUUACCUCUCCCUCCUCUAUAAAUGGUGAUGUGAACUCUGCCUGUGACUGUGAAGAAAAACAUCUCAGAAUAUCCUCAGCGGCAGUGAGGAUUGAGCCCUCCCCCUUCCCUUCGGACAGAAACCCGAAUGUGAGUGCUGGCUUUAAAUUGCACGUCGUGAAGUGAGUUUGCAGUGGCUAAAAUUGAUGUUUUCCCCCACAAUAUAUGUUUGAAGUGGAAUUGUCGUGUGUGUGUGUAAGCUACAUUCCUGUUUGCCAUGCACUCUCUAUGUGUCAUGAGGGCUGACUGUCAAUAGUAAGAGUCCUGCGACACUGAUUUGUUCCAACUGUCUGGAUGUUGAGGAUUUAUCAUCUGGGAUGUGAAUUAACCCCUCUGUUGUGCUAAUAGGAGAAGAGAUGCCCUGUUGAAAUAUUUACUAUCUGCCUCAGAAAAGCUCUGUGCAACCUGUUGACUUCGAGUCUGCUGUAUCCCUGCCAUUCGACUGUAUGGUGAGAGGUGUUCGCUCCUUCCAAUACAUGUGAAUUGUAUACUUGCCUGAAACAUCCAUUCUGUCUGUCUCAGAAGAAGCCCCAUUCAGCCUGUUGACUUCGAGUCUGCUGUAUCCCUGCCAUUCAACUGUAUGGUGAGAGGUGUUCGCUCCUUCCAAUACAUGUGAAUUGUAUACUUGCCUGAAACAUCCAUUCUGUCUGUCUCAGAAGAAGCCCCAUUCAGCCUGUUGACUUCGAGUCUGCUGUAUCCCUGCCAUUCAACUGUAUGGUGAGAGGUGUUCGCUCCUUCCAAUACAUGUGAAUUGUAUACUUGCCUGAAACAUCCAUUCUGUCUGUCUCAGAAGAAGCCCCAUUCAGCCUGUUGACUUCGAGUCUGCUGUAUCCCUGCCAUUCAACUGUAUGAAGAAGCCCAUAUUCAGCCUGUUGACUUCGAGUCUGCUGUAUCCCUGCCAUUCAACUGUAUGGUGAGAAGUGUUCGCUCCUUCCAAUGCAUGUGAACUGUAUACUUGCCUGAAACAUCCAUUCUGUCUGUCUCAGAAGAAGCCCCAUUCAGCCUGUUGACUUCGAGCCUGCUGUAUCCCUGCUAUUCAUCCGUAUUGUGAGAAGUGUUCGUUCCUUCCAACGCAUGUGAACUGUAUACUUUGUCUGAAGCAUCCAUUCUGUCUGUUUCAGUAGAAACCCUGCACAGCCUGUUGACUUAGAGUUUGUUGCAUCCUUGUGGCCCACCUGUGCUGAGAGAGGUGACUGUCCUUUGUCACGAACGUGAGAGGGGCACGCUUUGUCUGGAAUAUCCACUCUGACGGUGUCGGGAGAAGCCACCUUACUGUAAGACCGUGCACCUGCCGUAUACGUACUUGACUGAUAUCAUUCGCCUCAAAUUCCGUACCUGUGGAAGAAGGAAGGAAGGCUGGAAUUACAUACUUACCGGAGGAGACUUACCGGACCCCUCACUUGCCAAACACAUCCCCACCUCAAGGCUGUGUAUCUGCCGUGUACGGACCUGACCGAUAUCCAUCCGUCCCAAAUUCUGCAUCUGUGAAGAAGGGAAGGGAGUUUGGAAGUAUUUAAUUACCAGAGGAGACUUACCAGACUGCGGGCUUGCCGAUUGUAUUCCCACCUGUGAAAUACCUACUUGACCACCCAUCUGUCCAUCUAUUGCGGGGCCCGCACAGAGGAAGAGGGCGGGAGAGUCCCCGGUCGCUGCAUUGUUUACCUUCAAGCCCUGAGGGUAACAAAGAAGAUUUUAGUUUAGGAUUCCCAAUUUGUUUUUACUUCAAAAUAAAACUUGUUAAAUUUA